UUUAUGGAGAGUUUGAUCCUGGCUCAGGAUGAACGCUGGCGGCGUGCCUAAUACAUGCAAGUCGAGCGAACGGACGAGAAGCUUGCUUCUCUGAUGUUAGCGGCGGACGGGUGAGUAACACGUGGAUAACCUACCUAUAAGACUGGGAUAACUUCGGGAAACCGGAGCUAAUACCGGAUAAUAUUUUGAACCGCAUGGUUCAAAAGUGAAAGACGGUCUUGCUGUCACUUAUAGAUGGAUCCGCGCUGCAUUAGCUAGUUGGUAAGGUAACGGCUUACCAAGGCAACGAUGCAUAGCCGACCUGAGAGGGUGAUCGGCCACACUGGAACUGAGACACGGUCCAGACUCCUACGGGAGGCAGCAGUAGGGAAUCUUCCGCAAUGGGCGAAAGCCUGACGGAGCAACGCCGCGUGAGUGAUGAAGGUCUUCGGAUCGUAAAACUCUGUUAUUAGGGAAGAACAUAUGUGUAAGUAACUGUGCACAUCUUGACGGUACCUAAUCAGAAAGCCACGGCUAACUACGUGCCAGCAGCCGCGGUAAUACGUAGGUGGCAAGCGUUAUCCGGAAUUAUUGGGCGUAAAGCGCGCGUAGGCGGUUUUUUAAGUCUGAUGUGAAAGCCCACGGCUCAACCGUGGAGGGUCAUUGGAAACUGGAAAACUUGAGUGCAGAAGAGGAAAGUGGAAUUCCAUGUGUAGCGGUGAAAUGCGCAGAGAUAUGGAGGAACACCAGUGGCGAAGGCGACUUUCUGGUCUGUAAC
This 757-nucleotide ribosomal RNA is filed under the name Staphylococcus aureus. Its description in RNAcentral is "bacterial SSU rRNA". It matches the Rfam family "Bacterial small subunit ribosomal RNA", at positions 1 to 740 of the family's 1533-position model. Lineage: Bacteria; Bacillati; Bacillota; Bacilli; Caryophanales; Staphylococcaceae. The record is from RNAcentral.